This 1245-nucleotide ribosomal RNA is filed under the name metagenome. RNAcentral's name for it is "bacterial LSU rRNA". It matches the Rfam family "Bacterial large subunit ribosomal RNA", at positions 1703 to 2925 of the family's 2925-position model. The record is from RNAcentral.
UGUUAAGGAACUCGGCAAAUUGCCCCCGUAACUUCGGGAGAAGGGGGACCUCUGCUGGUGAUGGGCUUUACGUUCUGAGCUGGUGGGGGUCGCAGUGGCCAGGGGGAAGCGACUGUUUGCUAAAAACACAGGUCCGUGCGAAGUCGUAAGACGAUGUAUACGGACUGACGCCUGCCCGGUGCCGGAACGUUAAGGGGACCGCUUAGCCAGCUUCGGUUGGCGAAGGUGAGAACUUAAGCGCCGGUAAACGGCGGUGGUAACUAUAACCAUCCUAAGGUAGCGAAAUUCCUUGUCGGGUAAGUUCCGACCUGCACGAAUGGCGUAACGACUUCCCCGCUGUCUCAACCACAGACCCGGCGAAAUUGCACUACGAGUAAAGAUGCUCGUUUCGCGCAGCAGGACGGAAAGACCCCGGGACCUUCACUACAGCUUGACAUUGGCGUUUGGAACGUCUUGUGUAGGAUAGGUGGGAGACUAGGAAGCUGUCACGCUAGUGAUGGUGGAGUCAUUGGUGAAAUACCACUCUGGUCGUUUUGAACGUCUAACUCUGGUCCGUGAUCCGGAUCGGGGACAGUGUCUGGUGGGUAGUUUAACUGGGGCGGUUGCCUCCUAAAGAGUAACGGAGGCGCCCAAAGGUUCCCUCAGCCUGGUUGGCAAUCAGGUGUUGAGUGUAAGUGCACAAGGGAGCUUGACUGUGAGACUGACAGGUCGAGCAGGAGCGAAAGCUGGGACUAGUGAUCCGGCAUCGGCGUGUGGAAGCGGUGUCGCUCAACGGCUAAAAGGUACCCCGGGGAUAACAGGCUGAUCUUCCCCAAGAGUCCAUAUCGACGGGAUGGUUUGGCACCUCGAUGUCGGCUCGUCGCAUCCUGGGGCUGGAGUAGGUCCCAAGGGUUGGGCUGUUCGCCCAUUAAAGCGGUACGCGAGCUGGGUUUAGAACGUCGCGAGACAGUUCGGUCCCUAUCCGCUGCGCGCGCAGGAGACUUGAAGGGGGCUGUCCCUAGUACGAGAGGACCGGGACGGACGAACCUCUGGUGUGCCAGUUGUACCGCCAGGUGCACGGCUGGUUGGCUACGUUCGGAAGGGAUAACCGCUGAAAGCAUCUAAGCGGGAAGCUCGCCUUGAGAUGAGGUCUCCCACCCCGUGAGGGGGUAAGGCUCCCGGUAGAUCACCGGGUUGAUAGGCCGGAGGUGGAAGCACGGUAACGUGUGGAGCUGACCGGUACUAAUAGGCCGAGGGCUUGACCAC